AUGGUAGAGGCGCGGUUGUCAUUACUAGCCUGCAUCCGCAGGGGAGUCAGAACUCCCGAUGGGGCGAAAGGGGCCACCGCCGAAGUGGAAAAGAGAUUCUGAAGCUUUUCUGCUGGGCCGUCGGAGAAUAUCCUGCGGACUGUCACUGAAUUGUGGAGCGCUAUCA
This 166-nucleotide non-coding RNA is filed under the name human gut metagenome. RNAcentral describes it as "Lysine riboswitch". It matches the Rfam family "Lysine riboswitch aptamer". Rfam says of the family: Riboswitches are metabolite binding domains within certain messenger RNAs that serve as precision sensors for their corresponding targets. Allosteric rearrangement of mRNA structure is mediated by ligand binding, and this results in modulation of gene expression. This family includes riboswitches that sense lysine in a number of genes involved in lysine metabolism, including lysC. The record is from RNAcentral.